RNAcentral lists this ribosomal RNA (522 nucleotides) under uncultured Geobacillus sp. RNAcentral's name for it is "bacterial SSU rRNA". It matches the Rfam family "Bacterial small subunit ribosomal RNA", at positions 8 to 507 of the family's 1533-position model. Lineage: Bacteria; Bacillati; Bacillota; Bacilli; Caryophanales; Anoxybacillaceae. The record is from RNAcentral.
AGAGUUUGACUCCGUGGCUCAGGACGAACGCUGGCGGCGUGCCUAAUACAUGCAAGUCGAGCGGACCGGAUUGGGGCUUGCCUUGAUUCGGUCAGCGGCGGACGGUGAGUAACACGUGGGCAACCUGCCCGCAAGACCGGGAUAACUCCGGGAAACCGGAGCUAAUACCGGAUAACACCGAAGACCGCAUGGUCUUCGGUUGAAAGGCGGCCUUUGGGCUGUCACUUGCGGAUGGGCCCGCGGCGCAUUAGCUAGUUGGUGAGGUAACGGCUCACCAAGGCGACGAUGCGUAGCCGGCCUGAGAGGGUGACCGGCCACACUGGGACUGAGACACGGCCCAGACUCCUACGGGAGGCAGCAGUAGGGAAUCUUCCGCAAUGGGCGAAAGCCUGACGGAGCGACGCCGCGUGAGCGAAGAAGGCCUUCGGGUCGCAAAGCUCUGUUGUGAGGGACGAAGGAGCGCCGUUCGACGAGGGCGGCGCGGUGACGGUACCUCACGAGAAAGCCCCGGCUAACUACGUG